GGGGAUUGUGGUGGUUGUAGUCCUGCGUCUCGGUGGCGGCUCGGGCGCCCUCCUCACUAAGAACUUCGAUAUAUGGCCGGUACUUCUCGAGUGUCUCCACUUCGCCCUGUCAGCCCUGUUUUAUUCCGAGCCUGCUCGCGGGCCCCUAAGACCUCCACUCUGGCCACCAUGCGUCCUAGCCAGUGGCGGGCGGCGCCGCGCGUGCCCUCUGCUUCAUCUUGCUCACGCCGUCCCCAGCGCGCUUCUUGGCGCCAGUUCCGCUGCCUCGCUAACAUCUGCCGUCCUCUGAAAUGGUCCUGCCGACAGGCCUUCUCUAACCCAGUGGCAGGCGCGCCUGCUGCGUUUCCGCUUUGUCCUGGUGAUGCUUAUUAAGCUUCAGUAAGAUGUCAUGCCCUGUCGAAAUGCCCUGAUGGCUCCCAUUUCAUUAAGAAGAAAAGCCAACGUCCUCAAAACGGCCUGCUAGGCUCCCGACGCCCCUCGGCUGACUUUACCUUCUAACACUCCCCGACUCUCUCCUCUGGCUGCA
Molecule: long non-coding RNA, 526 nt
Organism: Sapajus apella (tufted capuchin)
Lineage: Eukaryota; Metazoa; Chordata; Mammalia; Primates; Cebidae
Exons: 2
Source: RefSeq, a predicted model, not a curated record